This is a long non-coding RNA of Acinonyx jubatus (cheetah), 7159 nucleotides long. RefSeq lists it as uncharacterized. The transcript has 5 exons. Lineage: Eukaryota; Metazoa; Chordata; Mammalia; Carnivora; Felidae. The record is from RefSeq and is a predicted model, not a curated record.
UGGGUGAUGAGGCGGGGCGGAGCACGCGCCUUUGGAAGCUGCCCGGAAAGCUAAAGCGCGGGUUGGCGGGGCGGUCUCGGGGGGCGGCUCCUUGGGACCGGAGCGCGAGCUUCCGAAGGAGGGAUAAACUCGCGAGCUCUGGUGGCGAAAUGCCUUUUAGUAAUAGUUAAUCUUUUAUGAUUCUCGAGUUUUACUAGGGCCCAUCUCUCACUAUUGGGCCAGGGGUCCUUUAAGGGGGGGAAAAAAAGAGAAGCCAAUUGCGGAAGUCUCUUGCAGCUCCUCCCCUCCAGCCGGCGCGCGCAGCACGGGCGGGCACGUCCUUGCUGCGCCGGAUACGUCAUCACGGCCUGCGCCCGGGGCGGAGCGGGGCGGAGCCUCUGGGUCAAGGACGAGCCUGCGCAGAGCGUGGGAAAGGCAUGCGUUGUGGCGUCUGACGUAUCCGUGGAGACAUCUUAAGUUUCCCUCAGUGGGCACGAAAAAAAGCAAGUCCUUGCCUCCCGUGUCUCCUACCUCUCGGCAUCUCCGGGCUUGUGCAGGGGUGGUCCUGCUGCCUCUGCAGGAUGACGGCACCCGCAGCCCCCACCGUCCUGACUGAGAGAGCGUGUCAGAAAGCUCCGAGGUCCGCAGCUGCCCUUUCAGAGCAAAAGCAUCCUCUGGGUAGCUGAAGCUUGGACUUCUUUCUAAGCAAGGAAUGAGAUGUAAGCCGGGAGACAAGCCUGAGGCCGAAAAGCCACCCGGGAUGGCAGAAUCUUCUGAAGGACUGGAGGCGGCCAGGGCUGAGGUCAAGGCCCCGAUGGAGGCUACAGGCAAGGUGGAUGGAAAAGAGACCAAGAAAAAAAAAUAAGUGGCUUGGUGACCUAACUUUACCCAGAGAAUGGAAAAUAAAAUGCAAGACUCCAAACCCUGCCCUUCUAUUUCAUCUUCAUUUUGGAAAAAUACAGGAAAAGGUGGGCUUUUUUGCCUUCCUACCAUGGACGAGGAUCUUGAAGGAGAAACUUGGCAGACCUUUUCCAUUCCCUGGGGCUUCGGCCAGGCAGUAGAGGAUGAAGGAGGACAUACAUGCCAGUGAGUAACAGUCCUCAAGUACAAAUAGCAGGGGUCCUGUCAUUGCUUCCUGAGAUUAGCUCCUGGUUUUCAGUAGGAUGGAUUUAUUUGGACAUUUGAAAACCAUGUCUCAGAAUUAUACAAAAAUGAUGCCUUUGAUAGAAAAGCGAUGAGAUCCUUCUGAGUUUUGUCUCAGUAACUGUAAUUUUUACAAAAAGAAUAUUUGGAGGUGAGGCAGGAAUAUCCUGCAAAAGAAAAGCAUAACGUCAUACACUACUCUGGCUGUUUAUUUCCUCACGACUACAUGUCCAGAGGCAUGCUUUUGGGAAGAGAGAAACUGAUUUUAGCUGCUCAUCCUUAUAUAUGGUAGUCUAAUCGGCUAGCACUCACAGUAAACUUUUGACUGCACUUGUGUACUUUUUGCAAGAGAAAUUGGGUUGUGCUGUGUUUAUUUUCUUUUGAAAGUGGUAUCUUUUCAAUGACAAAUGUAUCUAUCAAGAUGAAAACUUUUCAUUGUUAAGCAGAAAAUGCUAUGUUGGCUAUACAAAUUAGUUUGUAUUUAAUUGCUUAUCUUCAGUGGUCUUGAUAAAUAAGUGUUUCUCCCUUGGAAACCUAUUUUACAGAAAGUGCAGAUCCUUGAUGAGUGGCUGAUGGUUUAUAUAAAUAUGUAAUUCUUUCUUGAUUUUGUCUAAGUUUCAAGUAUUUUGAAAUUCUUGAAAUUUGUCAGUGCUGCAUGCAUUUUGGAAUGCAAAUUGGAAUGUUUCCAGUCAUUGUGCUAUUCAAUGCUUUCUCAUUAAUCACUGGUACUUGUGAGUUUGUUUAAAUGAUAUUCUUUCGGCAGAUUCUAUGAUUAUCGAGUGUUGCAGCAUUGCAAUAAGAACAUUAUGUGAAGGGGCACCUAUAAAGGAACUGCCACAGGUUAAGAGAAGCUCUCCAAAUGGGUAGAAUUCAUUACCCUGGACUUUUAUCACUUGGGACUUUGAGCCAAAUGUGUUUAGAGUUGCCAUCAUUUUCCAUAAUAGUAAUCACUUGGUGGCACUAUGUGUUUUAAAACAGUUUUGACAGUUUGCAUGGGUGCGAAUGAAACCUCUUUCCUUUUGUUGUAAGGAAAAUUUAGAAAGUGACGUUGUCAUUCUUUGGGACUAGAACAUACGAAACAGCCUGAGGUUUUGGAGCGAGCAAUAGUGAUCUCCCAAAAACUACUGUUUGCUUAUGAUGUAAUUUCAUUGGACAGCUUUUCUUUGUAGUGCACACAUUUUCUUCCCGAUUUCAUACCUGAAAGAUGAAAUGAUUGGAUAUACUUAGGCUAAAGAGAACAGCCGCUUAAGACAGGAUCCUGAGACUUGUGGCUCUUGCUUGUCUGAUUAGUAACAUGAAACGAAAUAGAUUCGGCUCCGAGCUCACUGAAGCAUGUUGUUUGUAGGUUUGGGAGAAAAUAGAUAAUGAAAGGGAUAAGGAAUAUUUUAAAUCAGAACACUAAAGACAAACCACUGAAUUCCAGUUGGAUAGUUUGUUGGCCAUACUUUUAACUCCAUGUACCCAGUGAAAAGUGUAGUGUGUCUUGUUUUAUUAGAAUUAGUGCUAGAUGUGUCUCUAAAGACUGAAGUUCCGUGUUAUCCCUGGAUGUGCUUAGUCAUUAGAUGAUUCAAGUUAAUAUAUUAUUAAUUUUAAUUUUAUACAUAAAAUACUAUUUUAUUUUUAUGACUCAACACAAAAAGCAACCAUUAUUAUAACUUCAGCUCAUUUCUGCAGUGGACGAUGCUCUCAGAUAUGGAACCAUGUAAAUGUGGUUCAAGAUUCAGUAGGUGGGGACGGUCUUCAUAGAGCAACAAGUGAGGCUGGCCCAAUUCCCUCAAUCGAGUCUCAUUUGAGCUGCUGACUUUUCACAGGAAUACGAUCUAAAAUCCUUAGUCUGUCGUCCAGUCAGGCAGCGCAGGCUCCCUCGUCUGGGAGGUCCCUGCAGCCCUUCUCCACGUUGCUCAUUGCUGAUCCGAAGAAGCUGUCAUAAGACUGAAGUGAGGACGAGAAUGAUUCACUUUCCUGAAGUUUGUAACCUUUAAAAUUACAGUGACUUGAGAUUGUUGUUGUUGUUGAUUAAAGAGCAACUGGUUGCCCAGUAGAGCAGCCACACAGAAUGGUCAGGUUUCCGGAACGGGUCUGACCUGGCUGUGUGCCCUGGUGCCUUCAUUUAUUGCCUAUAUGGCUCUGGGCAAGUUUGUCAGUUUCAUUAAGCCUCAGUCCUCAUGUCUGUAAGAUGAGGAUAAUGCCUACCUCAUGGGGAUGGAGGGCUAAGUUAGUUAUUGUAGGAACGUCUCCUAGCACAGUGCCUGCCUCAGCCAGUUAUCUGAUUACCGACGGUCAUUCUUAGUAUCCGUAUUAGUAGCAGUGAUAGCGGAGCCUUUCAAAAACAAUCUGGAUCACAGGCCUUCAGGUUCAGUUUAAGUUUGAGAGAAAGUUAUAGGUUAUUUGGCUAUAUCUUCUGGCAGGAAGAUCCUAAUCUUCUAGUAGGAAAAAGGACUCAUUUGGAACCUCACCUACUAGAAUGGCAAGCAGGGAUAACACUGAGAAUGCCAAGUGCUAGCCAGGGUAUGGAAUGACCGGAACUCUCAUGGAUUGCCCGCACGAUGUACCCGCAAAAUGGUAGAGCCACUUUUGGAGAGCACUUGGUAACUUCUCCUAAAGCUAAAUGUACAUUUGCCAUAAAACCCCUACAGUCCCACUCGUGGAUAUUUCCCCUAGAGAAAUGAAAACUCACGUUCACAGAAAAAACCUGUCACAAAAGUUUAGAGCAGCUGUAUUCAGAAUUGUCCCAAACUGGAAACACCCCAGAUGUCCUUCAACGGAUGCAUGGAUAAACGAACCGUGUUACAUCCUCACAAUGAAAUACCACUCGGCAAAAAAACAAGAACAAACUAUUGAUACACACAACAGUUUUGGAUAAAUGUCAGAGGCAUUAUGUUGAGUGCAGGAAGCCAGUUUCAAAAGGUUAUAUACUGUACGUUUCCAUUUAUAUGACAUUCUCAAAAAGACAAAGCUAUAGUGACAGAGAACAGAUCGAUGGGUGCCAGGGGUUAGGGGUUGGAGAAGUGUGUGAAAGUACCUUCUGUAAUGGAACUAUUUUGUAUCCUAAUUUUGGUCAUGGUUAUAAGAACCUAUACAUGUGAUAACAUUUAUAUGGAACAGUAUGUCGAAAAGUCAAAUUUACUAUGUGAUAAUUUAAAACAUGAAAAAUGAGAAUACAAGCUUUUGGCCCUUGAGGAGUUCAUAGGUGCACUGAGGGACAAACACAAAUACUUAUAAUGCAGUGGGGUGAAUGCAGUGAUCGCAGCACGCUGAGAGAAGAGCUAACACCUGGUGUGGCAUGGCGUACUGGUCUGAUGUGACUGGGUUACAAGCGUACCCAGAUAUUGCUGCGCAAGAAUUGUGGGGUCCCGAGGCCCGGGCCAGUUGUUUAUGGCCAUGUGCAGCCUUGUCCCUGUACCCUCAACUGUCUUCUAUGUGUACCAAGACCUGAAAAAGUCUGGGGGGGUCCUGGAUUAGGGUAUGAUGAGACCCCUUUGCCUAGUCGCCUGGGAGGAGGAAGGUACCAAGAAACCUCCAUAGGGGAGGUGGUGCCCGCAGUGGGAAUAAAGGGUAAAAAAGAGAGAGCUAGGCAGAGCCAGCAAGCCAGUCGUUGCCUGACAAAGGCACAGAGGAGAGAAAGUGGGUACAAGUUGGGGGCUCUAGGGUAUCCAAGAUGACAAGAGUACGAAGUGUGAGGUGUGGCUGGAGAACCGAGACCGGGGACAGAUUUCUGGAUAGCCUUGUAUAAUAAAAGGACAUUUGGUUUUAUGAUAGUGGAUUCUGGGCGUAUUUAGAGGCACAUGGGGGAUGAGGCGGCAGAGACAGCAAUUUGAUGAAAGCGAGAAGAGGCUGCAGGGGUGGGAUAAUGGGAAGAAGUACAGGGUUUGAUCUUAACUGUCAAGUGCUCGAGAACACACUUGUAGCAUGUGUAGCAUUAAUGGCAGACUCUCCCUCCUGGGAAGAUCUUUUCACUCAUUUGUUCACCACCAAUUCAUUCAACAAAUCAUCCACCUGCCUGAUAGGCACUAUUUUAGGUCCCGGGGAUCCAACCGUGAACAAAAUCAAGUCCCAGCUCUUGUGGAGCUGAUAUUUUCAGGGCUAAAUGAGCUAAGCUUUGGACAGUUUUGAAGUGUAAAGGGGCUCUGAGGUAAUAAUGCCUAGUAGACAGGUGCUAUAAAGACCAGUCUGAGCUGAAAAUUCAAAUUGGUGGUCACUGGUACAAAGAUAGAAAUCGGAGCCUUAGAAGUUGAUUGAAUAAUCCAUCUUUUGAUACUUCAAUAAAGCUGGAAGAAAACUUUUUUUCACCCAAAUUCUCAAUGAUUUGCCAUUAAGACUUGUUCUUCUGUAAGAGGAGGGAUCCAUCUAGCUUAUGCUGUAAUCUCAAGGGUGCUCAUCCACCCAGAUUCCUUUUUUAUGACAUCCUGGCAAAGGGUUCUCUAACCUUUCUAGAAGAGACUGUGUUACAAUGAACAGAUGUGUCUGACGUGUGGAACAUUAUACUAAGCUCUAGGAUGGGGAGGAGAUGGAAAAGAAAGAGUAGACCUGGUCCCUCUUCUGAAAACACUGAAAGUCUACAGGGAGAGCUAGCUCCUUAACCUUCUGUAAGUACUUAUGGUGCUUGAGAAUGGCCAUAAGCAAACAAAUAGAAAUUCUGGGUGGCUUAGGGUGCUGAAUCUUACAGUACAUAUAUACACGGGCAGAGUUGUAAAGCAGUCAUCAGUGACUUUCAAAAGAAGUAUGUUCUUUUUUUUAAAUUUUUUUUUAAUGUUUAUUUAGUUUUGAGAGAGAGAGAGAGUGAGAGAGUACGGGGGGUGGGGUGGGGCAGAGAGAGAGAGAGGAAGACACAGAAUCUGAAGCAGGCUCCAGGCUGUGAGCUGUCAGCAUUGUGCCUGACAUGGGGCUCAAACUCAUGGACUGUGAGAUCAUGGCCUGAGCCGAAGUUGGAUGUUUAACCGACUGAGCCACCCAGGCGCCCCAAAAGGAGUAUGUUCUGAAGCCAGUUAUCGAUGAACUGGCAAUAAUCGGAAUGACAUAGGCCAAAUUCUUGGGUUUGACUUUGGACAGCAUAAAUGGGCACGUGGUAUUUUGAAGAGAUUCUUUUAAUGAAAUAGUUUUAACCUGGCUGUGUUGUUAAAGCUACUGUGACUCAGGUACGUAUUCAUGCUACCAUGAAUACGUUGAUGUGGCCCCCCCAAACCAAAACAUUAAAAUUCCGACUGUUCUGACAACCAGGAAAUAAACAAGUGGAUGUCCUUUCUCCAUCGUAAGGCCUCAUCUCCCUGUGGUGGGUCUGGGAUAAGGUGUGAGUCAAAAGUGGGGAGGCAAAAGGGUAGGUUCAGGUACCAUCUGGCAGGCAAACUACCCAUGACCGGGAAUCUCGUGCUAACCAUUGUCCACAGCUCAUAAAGGACUUUUGGUCAUUCUGAGCUGAGUGCCCACUCAUUUUUGGAGCUGUCAUGACAGCUUGGAUGGUCUGCAUCUCAUGUCAAUCAAUUUCACUUUUAAAAUUACAGUGGCUCUACUUGUUUACAUAUAACAAAGAAUUACACGUACUCAACUAAAAAUGUGACUUAUUUCCUUUUCCAUUUGAUAAUUCAGGGAUACACACCUCUGCUAUUUAAAGACUUCUUGAGUAUACUCAGUUUUAUUGACUGGUAUUAUGUUGGACACUAAUAGUAAAGAGGAGGAAGAAUGUGUUUGUCUUUAUUCAUUCUCAGCUCCAUAUUGCACAGAAAAUCUUCAAAUAAAUUUCUAACAGAUCUAAUAUAUAUUGUAUUACAAUACAUACAUUCUUUGUAUAUAAAAUUCAUUUACUAAUGAAUUACUAAUAUUAUAAAAAUUUCCUUUGAAUUGAUGUCUUUUUUUUAAGUUUAUUUAUUUAUUUUGAGAAAGACCCACUGGGGAGGGGCAGAGAGAGAGAAUCCCAAGCAGGUUCUGUGCUGUCAGUGCAGAGCCCAAUGCAGGGCUUGAACUCACAAACUGUGAGAUCAUGACCUGAGCUGAAAUCAAGAGUCAGAUGUUUAACUGACUGAGCCACUCAGGCGCCCCCUGA